Non-coding RNA from Microcebus murinus (gray mouse lemur), 876 nucleotides. NCBI's taxonomy places the organism in Eukaryota, Metazoa, Chordata, Mammalia, Primates, Cheirogaleidae. The record is from RefSeq and is a predicted model, not a curated record.
GUAAGUCUAAAUCGUCCCAUCUCUCCUUGAAACUCUACAGGGCACCAAGGAGGACAGAGAAGGAAAAGGAAAAGGAUAAGGAGGAGGAGCAGGAGAAGAAGGAAGAAGGAGGAGGAGGAGGAGGAGGAAGGAAGGGAGGAGAAAGAAGAGAAGCCCACCAUCAACACACACAUCAGACUUAACUUCAGAGGAACUAGGAAGCUGGGAAGACAUGCAAACCCAACACAGGAGGAGAGGAGCAAGGAGAGGCCCCUCGGUGUGAGAACGCAGACCUGGGGAAGUGAAGAGAGUAGGGGCAGAUGGUGCCCAGGAAGUCCAGAGUGCGGCAUCCCGGAGAGCACCACUUCCCCAGAGAGGAGGGAGCCCCCUGCGCCGGCUGCAGCAGCGGAAAGGACGCCGGCGCUAGAGCCUUCCAGCCGGCAGAGGGCUUGUGGCUACGCAAAAUCCCACCCAGGAUCACACACUGCAUUUAGUUGAUAUUUCUUCUUCAUCUCCUGCAGCUUCUCAGUCUUUGCUCAUCUCUUUCAUGACCUCGACACCUGUAAGCAGUACUGGUCAGUACUUGUCAAACGUUCCUCCAUUCAAGUUUGAUGUUUUCUCAUGAUUGGACUAAGGUUGUGCAUUUUUGGCAAGAUGACCACAAAAAUGAUGUGUUGUCCUUCCCCGUGCACCAUACAACAGGGUUAUGGUGUUGAUAUGACUUAUACUGGUAACGUUGAACUUGAUCAUUUGGUUUCUGCUGGGUAUCUCCACUGUGACGUCACUAUCUUUCCCCCUUGUAGUUAAUAAACAUCUUGGGAGAAAUAGUUUGAGAUUACGCAAAAUCUGUAUCUCCUGAAACUUAAAAAAAAUUUAUUUUUAUUGUGGUAAAAUAUA